This 22-nucleotide ribosomal RNA is filed under the name Enterocytozoon bieneusi. RNAcentral describes it as "partial large subunit ribosomal RNA". Lineage: Eukaryota; Fungi; Microsporidia; Enterocytozoonidae. The record is from RNAcentral.
GCAGUAGGGUGCCAUCAAGAGG